RNAcentral lists this ribosomal RNA (301 nucleotides) under Zorotypus weidneri. Its description in RNAcentral is "partial 12S ribosomal RNA". Lineage: Eukaryota; Metazoa; Arthropoda; Insecta; Zoraptera; Zorotypidae. The record is from RNAcentral.
GAAACUAAAAGAAUUUGGCGGCAAUUUGAUUUUUUAGAGGAAUUUGUCUUUUAAUCGAUAUUCCUCGUGGAAUUUACCUAUUCUUGUUUAGCUUAUAUAUCGUUGUUGUUAGAAUAUAUUUUUAGAUUUAUUUUCUUAAUUUUUAAAGAUAGAAAUUCAGAUCAAGGUUUAGUUAAUGUUUAGGUUAAGAUGAAUUACAAUAAGUGUAUUUAUUACGGAAAAAUUAUUUAAUUAUUUAGGAAGGUGGAUUUAAGAGUAAUUUUUUUAUGAAAGGUAUUGUGAAGUUGAUUCCGAUUUGUGC